UACGGGGGGGGCAAGCGUUGUUCGGAAUUACUGGGCGUAAAGGGCGCGUAGGCGGUUCGAUAAGUCCCGUGUGAAAUCCCUCGGCUCAACUGAGGAAUGGCACGGGAAACUGACGGGCUUGAGUUCGGGAGAGGGAAGCGGAAUUCCGGGUGUAGCGGUGAAAUGCGUAGAUAUCCGGAGGAACACCGGUGGCGAAGGCGGCUUCCUGGACCGACACUGACGCUGAGGCGCGAAAGCUAGGGGAGCAAACGGG
Molecule: ribosomal RNA, 253 nt
Filed under: uncultured bacterium
Lineage: Bacteria
Description: partial 16S ribosomal RNA
Rfam family: Bacterial small subunit ribosomal RNA
Source: RNAcentral